This 1709-nucleotide long non-coding RNA is filed under the name Populus trichocarpa (black cottonwood). RNAcentral describes it as "long non-coding RNA (PTRI_LNC003371)". The record is from RNAcentral. Lineage: Eukaryota; Viridiplantae; Streptophyta; Magnoliopsida; Malpighiales; Salicaceae.
AGAGAUGAGACCUUGAGAGAGGAGUGGGCAGCUGCAUAGAGGAGAGGAAAAAGAGAGCUGGAAAACGUGAGAGGAAGAAGAAGGAGGAGAACCAACAGCUGAAUAGUGUCAAACCUUCCUCAAACUUAGUUAAAUUCAGAAGGUAUGGGUCAUGAAACUCUCUUCCUCUCCCCCGUAAGAUCAAAAAACGAAAAUGAAGAAGAAAAACCCUAAGAAAAGAAUUGAUCUAAGACCUAAGCCAGCUGUGAAGGAAGCUGAAAUUAACCAAGAGAACAAGCAAACAAAAGUGAAAUAAAGUCAAUUUCAGAACAUCUAACAAAUCAUGGUAGAGGGCUGGCUUUAACUAGGGGGUAAUUAAUGUGUUCUGCUGUGAUGUUGUUGCUGGACUUAAUGUGUUCUGCUGUGAUGAUUGUUGCUGGAAUUAAUGUGUUCUGCUGUGAUGUUUGUUGCUGGAAUUAAUGUGUUCUCCUGUGAUGAUUGUGCUGCAAUUGAUGCUGCCGAUUUGUGUGUUGCGCAGCGAAAUUCUGUUUCGCUGCCGCAACUGAACCUGCUGCAGCGAUUUGAUAUUCGCUGCCGAUUUGUGUGUUGCGCAGCGAAAUUCUGUUUCGCUGACGCAACUGAACCUGCUGCAGCGAUUUGAUAUUCGCUGCCGAUUUGUGUGUUGCGCAGCGAAAUUCUGUUUCGCUGCCGCAACUGAACCUGCUGCAGCGAUUUGAUAUUCGCUGCCGAUUUGUGUGUUGCGCAGCGAAAUUCUGUUUCGCUGCCGCAACUGAACCUGCUGCAGCGAAUUAAUAUUCGCUGCCGAUUUGUGUGUUGCGCAGCGAAAUUCUGUUUCGCUGACGCAACUGAACCUCCUGCAGCGAUUUGAUAUUCGCUGCCGAUUUGUGUGUUGCGCAGCGAAAUUCUGUUUCGCUGCCGCAACUGAACCUGCUGCAGCGAUUUGAUAUUCGCUGCCGAUUUGUGUGUUGCGCAGCGAAAUUCUGUUUCGCUGACGCAACUGAACCUGCUGCAGCGAUUUGAUAUUCGCUGCCGAUUUGUGUGUUGCGCAGCGAAAUUCUGUUUCGCUGACGCAACUGAACCUGCUGCAGCGAUUUGAUAUUCGCUGCCGAUUUGUGUGUUGCGCAGCGAAAUUCUGUUUCGCUGACGCAACUGAACCUCCUGCAGCGAUUUGAUAUUCGCUGCCGAUUUGUGUGUUGCGCAGCGAAAUUCUGUUUCGCUGCCGCAGCUGAACCUGCUGCAGCGAUUUGAUAUUCGCUGCCGAUUUGUGUGUUGCGCAGCGAAAUUCUGUUUCGCUGCCGCAGCUGAACCUCCUGCAGCGAAGUGAUAUUCGCUGCCGAGUUGUGCGUUGUGCAGCGAAACUGUGGCGCCAACAGCGGUGCAGUUCUCGCUGCCGAACUGGCAGCCUGCGGCGAACCAGUUCUCGCUGCCGAAGUGGGCAGCCCGCAGCGAACCAGUUCUCGCUGCCGAUUCCUACAAUAAGCCUCCUAGGCAGGAAUGACUUAAAUGCUAAUAACAAUUUCAUGAUAUGAUGGUGUAAAAUAGGGAACACUUGAAUGUGAACAUAUGAACUAUUGAAAUAAGUGUGAUGAUGAAUGUGAUUCAAAAAUAAAAUAAAUACAACUGUGCUGAUUUGUGACCAUUGAUGUCUUAGGUGGUGCGGUCGGGAUUGGACCAUCAUCAAGACAGGAACGACCCACAGGUGGAGCAGG